RNAcentral lists this unclassified non-coding RNA (211 nucleotides) under Hevea brasiliensis (rubber tree). Lineage: Eukaryota; Viridiplantae; Streptophyta; Magnoliopsida; Malpighiales; Euphorbiaceae. The record is from RNAcentral.
GUUGGGACACCAGAAGAAUAUUGAGAUGGCCAUAGCAUCUGAAGAAAGUGCUGGCUUUCCCGUUACAGCUCAGUUUUCUUGCAUUUCCAUUUGUGCAUUCUCCAAACAAGAAAAUGAUAGUCUUGAAUCUGAAGAAAGAUCAAAGUCGGUGACAAAACUUUCUGGACUUAUAAUAUUUUAUUUAAUAGUCAUGGCAGUAGAAAUCAUCGGU